AGAGUUUGAUCCUGGCUCAGGAUGAACGCUAGCUACAGGCUUAACACAUGCAAGUCGAGGGGCAGCAUGGUCUUAGCUUGCUAAGGCCGAUGGCGACCGGCGCACGGGUGAGUAACGCGUAUCCAACCUGCCUUACACUCUUGGACAGCCUUCUGAAAGGGAGAUUAAUACAAGAUGUUAUCAUGAGUAAGCAUUUUCGCAUGAUUAAAGGUUACCGGUGUAAGAUGGGGAGUGCGUUCCAUUAGAUAGUAGGCGGGGUAACGGCCGACCUAGUCUUCGAUGGAUAGGGGUUCGUGAGAGGAAGGUCCCCCGACAUUGGAACUGAGACACGGUCCAAACUCCUAGGAGGCA
This 351-nucleotide ribosomal RNA is filed under the name uncultured bacterium. RNAcentral's name for it is "bacterial SSU rRNA". It matches the Rfam family "Bacterial small subunit ribosomal RNA", at positions 8 to 350 of the family's 1533-position model. The record is from RNAcentral.